UCGAACGGAAAGGCCCUGCUUGCAGGGUACUCGAGUGGCGAACGGGUGAGUAACACGUGGGUGAUCUGCCCUGCACUUCGGGAUAAGCUUGGGAAACUGGGUCUAAUACCGGAUAGGAACCAUCUUUAGUGUGGUGGUUGGAAAGUUUUUUCGGUGUAGGAUGAGCUCGCGGCCUAUCAGCUUGUUGGUGGGGUAAUGGCCUACCAAGGCGGCGACGGGUAGCCGGCCUGAGAGGGUGUACGGCCACAUUGGGACUGAGAUACGGCCCAGACUCCUACGGGAGGCAGCAGUGGGGAAUAAUGCACAAUGGGCGCAAGCCUGAUGCAGCGACGCCGCGUGGGGGAUGAAGGCCUUCGGGUUGUAAACUCCUUCGCUAGGGACGAAGCUUUUUGGUGACGGUACCUAGAUAAGAAGCACCGGCUAACUACGUGCCAGCAGCCGCGGUAAUACGUAGGGUGCGAGCGUUGUCCGGAAUUACUGGGCGUAAAGGGCUCGUAGGUGGUUUGUCGCGUCGUCUGUGAAAUUCUGGGGCUUAACUCCGGGCGUGCAGGCGAUACGGGCAUAACUUGAGUGCUGUAGGGGUAACUGGAAUUCCUGGUGUAGCGGUGAAAUGCGCAGAUAUCAGGAGGAACACCGAUGGCGAAGGCAGGUU
This 652-nucleotide ribosomal RNA is filed under the name uncultured Actinomycetales bacterium. RNAcentral describes it as "bacterial SSU rRNA". It matches the Rfam family "Bacterial small subunit ribosomal RNA", at positions 62 to 727 of the family's 1533-position model. Lineage: Bacteria; Bacillati; Actinomycetota; Actinomycetes; Actinomycetales. The record is from RNAcentral.